GUAGGUGAACCUGCGGAAGGAUCAUUAAAAAUAUCCUUCACCCUGGAUGCAAGUCCGGGUGGACCAGCCGCUGGGCUCUAAACAUACGUAAUGCCAGUCCAUUCUCCUUGUGAGAUUGUUCGGGUACUCGUUACUUCAAACCAUUGUGAACCUCCUGUUGCUUCGGCGGCAUGCCUCGUGCUGUCAGCCCGUCCGAGGCCCAUAAAACCAUUUCUGUAAACUUCUGUCAGUAUACGAAAAGUAAAUCGUUAAAACUUUCAACAACGGAUCUCUUGGUUCUC
RNAcentral lists this unclassified non-coding RNA (281 nucleotides) under rhizosphere metagenome. RNAcentral's name for it is "partial ribosomal RNA internal transcribed spacer region". The record is from RNAcentral.